Molecule: long non-coding RNA, 207 nt
Organism: Arabidopsis thaliana (thale cress)
Lineage: Eukaryota; Viridiplantae; Streptophyta; Magnoliopsida; Brassicales; Brassicaceae
Product: other RNA
Exons: 2
Source: RefSeq
GGUGGAGUUUAGAGCUAAACAAUUCUGAUUUUUAAAGUAGGGUCUUCUGUCAUAGCCUUCGGUCAUGGAAACUCCGAAGCCAUCCUUCUUCGGCCAGGGAUAGACGUGACCGUAGGCGACACCUAGCAGGGCUCUUGAAUUUUGAGAAAAUCGAAAAAUUUGGAGGAAUUUGGGGAUUAUGGAUUCAAUUAGGGGUGGGCAAACGAG